AUGUUUUGGUGGGGCAGUAGGAGAGGCAAGAGGAAAACCACUUGGAUAUCAUGGAAGACUAUGCCAAUACCCAAUUUUAUGGGAGGUAUGGGCUUUCAAGAUAUCGAAUUGUUUAGAUUUUCGCUUCUUAUGAGACAAGCAUGGAGAUUAAUGCAAGAACCAGACUCCCUCAAUGCUCAAGUCUUAAAAUCAAGAUACUACCCUGACUGUGACCCUUUGGCAACGAACAUGGGAUUGAUCCCUUUGUAGGUUUGGUGGUCAUUAAUGGAGGGAAGUGAUGUACUGUCACUCAGAUUGAUCAAGUGGAUAGGGCCGAGGGAAGGAACCAGUAUUUGGAGUGACAAUUGGUUGCUAAGGGACUUUAAACUUCGGCCCAUUUGUGCACUUACACAAGACCUAUCAAUGCUUGUUUCAAAACUGAUAAAUGGUGCAACCAAAUAUGGAAUAAGCAAUUGCUAA
Molecule: ribosomal RNA, 459 nt
Filed under: Triticum aestivum (bread wheat)
Lineage: Eukaryota; Viridiplantae; Streptophyta; Magnoliopsida; Poales; Poaceae
Description: partial small subunit ribosomal RNA
Source: RNAcentral